GUGCUCACUUCAGCAGCACAUAUACUAAAAGCGGAAUAAUACAGAGAAGAUUAGCAUGGCCCCUGAGCAAGGAUGACACACAAAUUCACAAAAUGUUCCAUAUUUUU
Molecule: small nuclear RNA, 107 nt
Organism: Jaculus jaculus (lesser Egyptian jerboa)
Lineage: Eukaryota; Metazoa; Chordata; Mammalia; Rodentia; Dipodidae
Source: RefSeq, a predicted model, not a curated record